GUAGGUGGCAAGCGUUAUCCGGAAUUAUUGGGCGUAAAGCGCGCGUAGGCGGUUUUUAAGUCUGAUGUGAAAGCCCACGGCUCAACCGUGGAGGGUCAUUGGAAACUGGGAAACUUGAGUGCAGAAGAGGAAAGUGGAAUUCCAUGUGUAGCGGUGAAAUGCGCAGAGAUAUGGAGGAACACCAGUGGCGAAGGCGACUUUCUGGUCUGUAACUGACGCUGAUGUGCGAAAGCGUGGGGAUCAAACAGGAUUAGAUACCCUGGUAGUCCACGCCGUAAACGAUGAGUGCUAAGUGUUAGGGGGUUUCCGCCCCCCUUAGUGCUGCAGCUAACGCAUUAAGCACUCCGCCUGGGAGUACGACCGCAAGGUUG
This 371-nucleotide ribosomal RNA is filed under the name uncultured organism. RNAcentral's name for it is "partial 16S ribosomal RNA". It matches the Rfam family "Bacterial small subunit ribosomal RNA", at positions 527 to 896 of the family's 1533-position model. The record is from RNAcentral.